RNAcentral lists this ribosomal RNA (621 nucleotides) under Escherichia coli. RNAcentral describes it as "partial 23S ribosomal RNA". It matches the Rfam family "Bacterial large subunit ribosomal RNA", at positions 1291 to 1897 of the family's 2925-position model. The record is from RNAcentral. Lineage: Bacteria; Pseudomonadati; Pseudomonadota; Gammaproteobacteria; Enterobacterales; Enterobacteriaceae.
CGAAUGCUGACAUAAGUAACGAUAAAGCGGGUGAAAAGCCCGCUCGCCGGAAGACCAAGGGUUCCUGUCCAACGUUAAUCGGGGCAGGGUGAGUCGACCCCUAAGGCGAGGCCGAAAGGCGUAGUCGAUGGGAAACAGGUUAAUAUUCCUGUACUUGGUGUUACUGCGAAGGGGGGACGGAGAAGGCUAUGUUGGCCGGGCGACGGUUGUCCCGGUUUAAGCGUGUAGGCUGGUUUUCCAGGCAAAUCCGGAAAAUCAAGGCUGAGGCGUGAUGACGAGGCACUACGGUGCUGAAGCAACAAAUGCCCUGCUUCCAGGAAAAGCCUCUAAGCAUCAGGUAACAUCAAAUCGUACCCCAAACCGACACAGGUGGUCAGGUAGAGAAUACCAAGGCGCUUGAGAGAACUCGGGUGAAGGAACUAGGCAAAAUGGUGCCGUAACUUCGGGAGAAGGCACGCUGAUAUGUAGGUGAGGUCCCUCGCGGAUGGAGCUGAAAUCAGUCGAAGAUACCAGCUGGCUGCAACUGUUUAUUAAAAACACAGCACUGUGCAAACACGAAAGUGGACGUAUACGGUGUGACGCCUGCCCGGUGCCGGAAGGUUAAUUGAUGGGGUUAGCGCA